CAGUCGCCGCGGUAAUACGUAGGGUGCAAGCGUUAAUCGGAAUUACUGGGCGUAAAGCGUGCGCAGGCGGUUAUUCAAGACAGAUGUGAAAUCCCCGGGCUCAACCUGGGAACUGCAUUUGUGACUGGGUGACUAGAGUACGGCAGAGGGGGAUGGAAUUCCGCGUGUAGCAGUGAAAUGCGUAGAUAUGCGGAGGAACACCGAUGGCGAAGGCAAUCCCCUGGGCCUGUACUGACGCUCAUGCACGAAAGCGUGGGGAGCAAACAGGAUUAGAUACCCCCGUAGUCCCUGUCUCUUAUAC
RNAcentral lists this ribosomal RNA (301 nucleotides) under uncultured bacterium. Its description in RNAcentral is "partial 16S ribosomal RNA". It matches the Rfam family "Bacterial small subunit ribosomal RNA", at positions 509 to 807 of the family's 1533-position model. The record is from RNAcentral.